This 6406-nucleotide long non-coding RNA is filed under the name Homo sapiens (human). Its description in RNAcentral is "non-protein coding lnc-PROC-1:10". Lineage: Eukaryota; Metazoa; Chordata; Mammalia; Primates; Hominidae. The record is from RNAcentral.
ACACACGCACGUACCGGCUGCUCCGCAGGGACGUAGAGAGCCGCAGGCCCAAGGAGGGGCCGCCCCCGCCGAGCCCGCCCCUCCGCCCCAGCGCGGCCUGUCACCGCGGCCCCAGGUCGGGGGCUGCCGCAGGGCCCCCGGGGACCGGAGGGGCGCGCGAGGAGUCGGGCGCGGGCCUUGGGGCCAGGCCCGUCCCUCUUUCACAUGAAGCCCGGGCCGGGCGGGGUGGCGGGCGCGUGAAUCCUCGCAGCCGGCCGGGUCCUCCUGGCGCUCCUCGGCACUUCUAGCCGCUGCAACCCCGAGGCCCGCGGGAACUGGGCAGGAAAGGAGGAAGCCGCGGGCCCGCGUCGCUAGAGACCGGAGAAGAGGCGGGAGUGGCGACUCUGCGGACAGGGGCGCCGAGCGUCCUGGUCGUUGUUUUCGUCGCCGCCGCGGGCCGUGCAACCCCCGAACGCUGCGCCCAGCGGCCGCGGCACCCUCGUCAGGCGCCGCCGCUGAGGGCAGGCAGCCCGGCAGCCACUACACACGGACCCGUGACGUCGGGCGUAGCGCGGCGCACGUCACGGCCGCUCGCUCGUGCGCGCGCACCCCUCCGCCCGGCGGUAGCGGAACCCGCCGCGGGCGCGCGCCCGGCCCAGGGGAGUGGGUCGGCGCCUGCGCAGAGGCCCGCCACGCCCACACACAGGCCACCGCCCCCACCGGCCGGACGGCGCGGGGAUUCCCAGUCCUGGCUCCGCCCCGGCCUCGGCCCCGCCCCCGCCCCUGCCCCGGGGCAGCCUGUGCUGUUCCGUGUGCGCGGCGCAUACGCACCUGGGUUGUCUCGAGCCUGCGGUAGUGGCCAGAUCCCAGACAUCCGAGUAGAUCCCGUGAAAAGGUCUCCCACGUGGGCUGUGGACAGGGCCCAAGGGUAGCAGAGCUAGCAGAGGCAGUGACGGACUGUGUGGCAGGUCAUUUGCAAGGAGAAAAGCCGUCUGCCUCUUAAUUUGUGGCUCAAGUUUCAGAAUUUUUUUCCUGAGGGACUUUAGAAAUUACUUCAGGCUUGCCACCUAACCUUAAACCACCCCCUUGGAGACUGGCUAAGUGUUAUUUGUGUUUUCUGUUUAGUUCUUAUCACCAUCGAUACUUGGUUAUGACUGGUUGUGUACAUUGGUUAGCCCAGCAAGUAUUACUUCUCCAGCUUAACAGAUGUGGAAACUUAAGCCCAGAGACAUGAGUUGACACCCCACCCCCAAAGCUAGAGUCUAAAACCCUUUCUUUCGCUCCUCAUCUCCCACAGGAUAAAAUGCAAAUUAAUCAGACUAGUGGUGAGGCCCUCCGUGGUGUGACUAACCUGCAUCCCGACGUUUUCACCCUACUUUGAUCCAGAAAGCACCUUUCCGCCCCAUCUCUUCUCCUUUCCUUAAAUACCCCUUACAACUUCCUGUACCAUUCUUCCCUGUUCAGCUUCUUCUUGGUUUCUUCGUACAUUCUGGAUCCACCCCUUUCAUGCAUAUUCCAGACCACAUUUCCACUGGAGCAGUUGAAAUGAGAGAGAUGGGAAUGGGACUCACCCGAACCAGAGGCUAGCCUGGCUGAAGCUCAGCUGCACAGAGUCUGUCCUGAGAAGCAGAAUGCCACUGUCCCCUGGGCCCUCCAGACUGCCAAGGCUGCUCAGUUUCAGAGAGCAGGCUCCCUGUGGCCUCACACGCCGGCUGCCAGCUGGGCCAGGUAACUCUGGCCAGGCUGCACUGUGAAGAACACGAGAGUCGGCGGAGACCUGUGCCUGCUCUUCUCAGCCUCAAUGUCUGGAAGACAAAAAAAGGCAUCCUGCUCCCAAGAUUGUGGUGGAGGCCAGCAGGGUGACGCACAUGAAAGCCACUGGAGAUAGAUGGCACUUGUUCCCACCCACUGCCCACAACAGGCCCAGGACUGCCUCAGCCCCGGUGGACCCCAGAGCCAGCAGGCCCUUCAGAAUGGAAGGUGCCAAACACCAUCGGAAGGCGUGGUUCUUUUCAGAGAACCAGACUCUGAGACUGUGGCCUCCCACUAUGAGUCACCACCUCUGAUUCCUGAGGUCCCCUCCAGUCAUUGGCUCUCUCCCAAGCCAGCCAGCUGAUCAGCCUUGAGGACAGCAGAGUGUCUGCCAAGAGAGAUCUGUGAAGUUUCCCAUCACCGUGGCAGUCCACAAUGUGAAGCCCCUGAGGCCACCCUUCUCCAUGUGUCCCCCACACUGUCCCUGACCCUCCCACCAUCCUAGAAAACCAGCCUCCCAGGUCCUCUGUCAUGGAAGUAAUUUACAGCAAGGCAGAAAGAGCUGAAAGAUUUAUAAAUGUGUAAAAUUUACAAAGGUGUUUCUUUCUUUCUUUCUUUCUUUUUUUUUUUUUUUUUUUUUGAGGCAGAGUCUCACUCUGUUGCCCAGGCUGGAGUGCAGUGGCACAAUUUUGGCUCACUGCAACCUCCGCCUCCCGGGUUCAAGUGAUUCUCCUGCCUCAGCCUCCCAAGUAGCUGGGAUUACAGGUGCAUGCCACCACGCCUAGCUAAUUUUUGUAUUUUUAGUAGAGACAGAGUUUUUUGCCAUGUUGGCCAGGCUGGUCUUGAACUCCUGACCUCAGGUGAUCUGCCUGCCUCAGCCUCCCAAAGUGCUGGGAUUACAGGCGUGAGUCACCGUGCCCGGCCUACAGAGGUGUUUCUGAGUGGAGAAACCACUGCCUGGUUGGACUGACUGCCCAGUUCCACCACCCUGUGAGCCCAUGAGUGAGCUCACUGCACUUGUUAUAGACAUCCUACCACCAGCAGCCUGAUUUUGCUGAGUCCGUAGCUUACAACUCCAAUCUCAUGGCCCUGCCUUUCACCUCACUUGCUGCCUUAAAAACCUGCAGACUGAGGUGGCGUAGAAGCUGUGACAUCCCAGUACCCAGAAGUUCAUCUCACACCCAGAUCUUGGUUUCUAAAUGUCAUUCUCUACUAAAAGGGACCAGGGCUGGUACAGGAGAAGAGCAAGAGCUUGGAAUAUCUUAUACCUGAGAGUAAGGAAGUGCUCAGAGAAUCACAGGAGCACGUUAAAAGGACAUAGAAGUCAGUUUAAUGAGACUGCUUCUGGCCAAAGUUGGAACACAUCAAACAUUAAAACAAUGAUGGUAAUGGAUUAGAUUCCAUAGAAUAAAAUCCUUGAGGACAUAGUUAUAUAAACAUAACUGAGGAAGAAGGAAAAGCUCUCCCUAACAGAAUAAUACAACUAGUAAAUGGGAAAGGAAAGGAGUUAGGAAUUCACGCUGGGUAUUGAAACUAGUGGGUGAAAGCUCAAUGAAUCGGAUUCUUAGUCUCAAUGUCUCUCCUCUCAAUUUAGUAAUUAUAGUGGAGUAAUCAUGACUUUACAGUGGAGAAACCUGGCCAACACUACCUUCACAACACUAACAAAAACCUUGCAGACCUGCAGCCUAAGCUCCCAGAAGUCACCUGCUGAAAUGCCUUCAAAGAGUGACCUCUCUGCGUGUAGUGCUCAGCAACUUGGGCUCAGUGUCUAUUUCCACAAGCUACAAACCAGAAUACAGUGGAAUUCAGCCCAUAUGUGGUAAUUUAUCUACCAAUCAAGGACCUUUGACUCCAAAAAUUACCUUUUUUGUACAAGUGACUACCUGGUGUAGAGCUCAGACAUGGCUUUGAAUUUUUGCCAUGCUGUGUGAGCUCAGGCAAGCUGCUUCACCUCUUUGAGCUUCAAUCUUUUAUCUAUAAAAUGGGAAUAACAAUAACUUAAUGAAACAGCAAUUCCAGUGUUAGGUAUUUCCUCAGGAGAAAUGAAAACACGUUCACACAAAUAAUUGUACAUGUAUGUUUCUACACGCUUUAUUCAUAAUAGUCAUAAACAACCUAAAUAUUCAUCAACUGGUUAGCAGAGAAAAGAGCAAACCACUGAUGACAUGAACGAAUUUCAGAAGCACUGUGCUCAGUGAAAGAAGCCAGACAAAAAUUACAUCUUACAUAAAUUUCAUUUAUAUGAAAUUCUAGUGAAGGCAAAACAUAUAGCCAGGGGCCAAGAGGGGAGGAUGGUCUGCAAAGAGGCAGGAACUUCUUCCUGGGGUGAUGGGAAUAUUCUGUGUCAUGAACAUCGUGAUUGUGGUUACAAGACUAUACUUUUGUCAAAACUCAUCAAAUUGUACACCUAAAAUGGAUGCAUUAAGCCUCAAUACAGCCAAUAAAAGAUACCUACGUUACAGUAUCUUCUGAGGAGUAAUGGGGUGAUAUAUAUGCAGCCCCAAGUUCAGUGCCUGUGGUGAGAGGAGUCCUAAAAUAGUACCUGUGACCACGCCCCACGGUCUUAGACCUGGGCAGGGCAACUGUGCAGACAGCAGGCCCAGCCAGGAAGCAAGCUGGCAAGGCGUUCUGCAGCGAAGGUGAGUACCAGUGAUGCAAGGUGGAAUAAGAAAAGUGCCCUUUGGAGGAGUCACUUAUGAGGGGAAUGGGGAGCAGGGCAGCAGAGGCCCCUCUGCUGCUGGGAACCGGGCGCACUCCCGCCAGUCGCAGGAGCUGGCUCCACCCGCCCCUUCUGAUCCAGUGUCCCGCAGUCCUGCCCGCUUCACCGCCCUCGCCUAGCCCCCGCGGGUGGUAAAAGUCCAGCCCGGCGGAGCGCCCCUGCCUCCUUCCACGCCCCUGGCCUGCCCUGCGCAGCUACGCCCAGCCCGCGUCCAUCCCGGACCAUCCUGUUGAAGGCAGUCCCCUGGCACGCAGGGCUGGGAGCUCUUAGCUGAGGAUGGAACCGACUGCACCAGGAGCCGCUGGGAGGAAGGCCGAGGGGCGCAGAGGAGAGGCAAGGAAAAAACAGCAGCCCAAGAAUCGGGCCUCCCUGUUACAGCAGGAGUCGCAUCUAUUUAUAUAUGUUAUGUCUUAUUGCUCAGCAACCAGCUCUCGGCCGGGGCGUGGGCCGGGAAGAGGGGUCUCCUGGUGCAGCGGGUUGGCGUGACUCAUCACCGCCGCGCACUCUGGCCUCUGGGCCUAGGUUAACAGACUCCCGGGUUUCAGGCUGGGCCCAGGCGGCCAGGCCCUCCCUGCUGAGGAAUCUGGGUUGGGGCAGUGCCAGCUCCCUGCUUCUCACCUGGCCACAGAAGGGGUAGCGGGAGGAGCGUGGGUUCAUGGAGGCAGGUGGACCACCCCUUGGCUCCUGGCUCUGCCACCUGUCCACUGUGUAGCCCUGGGCGAGUCACAGCCUCUGACAUCAGCCUGCUUAUACUGUAAAAGGAGUGUGAGAUCAUGUUGGAGGAGACACUACAGUGAAAUCUAAAUACAUUUUAACUCUUCACACACCCUCUCCCAUGCAUUUGACAGCGAGGAAACUGCAGCCCGGGGCAAAGUUGACUCACUUCCCAAAGCCAACUAAUUUGUACUUAGAAGAGGCAGGAUUUGAACCGGGGCCUCUGUGGUUUAGAGCCCUGUGUAUCUUAUCACUGUAACGCCUACCUCAUGCCCUCAAAAUGCCUACCCAUCCGAGGGGUGCAGAACUUGUGGGUUCCUGGGCUCACCCGAUGGGAUUCUCUAGGGGCAGCCCCUGCAAGGGUGGGGAAAUACAGAAUUCUCUCUGGUGUCAGGGUCGUGUGUCUCAGUCAGAAAAGCCCUGCCCCGGAUGGUCUCAGGAAUGAGGUGCAGCUGCCUGCCCACCUCAGCCUGCCUUCCCUUGCUAUCAGCCGUUCACUUGAGAUGCUAACCCCCUGUUAUAUACCUGAGUCACCUAACAGGAUGUCUUCCAAGCACUGCACAGUGUCAGGUUUUGAUUACCAGCUUCCUUAUGGCUACAGAAAUCCCUUGUUUGAGUCAAUGUGGUGGAUCUAGAUCUGGCCGUGUCACUCCUCUACUCACAGCAUUUGCUUACAGGGCUAAAUUUAAACUCCAGUUUGUGGCAAGUACAGAAGGCCUCCAUCAUGUGGCCUCUGCAUCCCCAGCUCUCCUUGUCAUUGUCAUCAGCCACUCUUCUCCAGCCCCCAAAUUCUCAGGAGCUCCUUGGGCCCUCCCAUCCUGCAGGCCUGCAGGCCUCCACGCCAAGCUCUCCUAAGACGCUCCUGGCCUUACCAGGCUGGCAUGAGCCUUCCUUCUCCAACAGUGGCAGAGCACUGUGCCAGGAGGUUCUCAGAGCUUGUUACAACUCAAGGAGGCAGGUCCCACCCCCUUUUAUGGGGAAGGAAACUGAAGCUCAGGAAGGUAACCUUCCAAAGGUCACAUUCCCGCUUGCCUCAGCACCUUCCCUGCCCACUCUGUGCACAUCUCCAUUACUGCCAGGUCCUGCCCAGGUAUGGCUGUUUGUAUGUCUGUCUCUCUAGGUGACUGAUGGCCCUUCCCCUUGCAUGCGUGCUCUCCCACUACUACUAUCUAAGGACAUUUGCUGAGUAAGUGGAUGGAUGAACAGAUUAUGGACAAAACAUUUAUUUAAAAGAGCUUAAGG